AUUAGAAGUAGGAGCACAAGGGAUUGACUUUGACUUUGAAAUCUCCAAUGAAAAUGUGUGCUGAUUUGGAAAUAAUUGGAUAGAACUGUGAAAAAAACUUUCAAAACCUAAAGUUUUUUAAUAUUUACAGAUUGUGAGAGAUCACAGAGAGAGAUGCUGUCACGUAUACUGCCAAUUGGGCUAUUCAAGCAAUAAGAUGACGAAGAAUUUGACAGAGGGUAUUUUUGUACAUUGUGGAACAUUAUUGAAGCAUCAAAGAGCAGUAUUAUGCAGAUUUAUGCAGUUUGGGUUUUAUGGUGGUGGUACUCGAACCACAGGUGCAACAUGUCUUUCGCCAUCACAGUUCGCCACAGAGCCAUACUCAAGAACAAUAGUUUCCUGUCUUAUUUCAGCUCUUUAUGAGCACUAUGGAUAUACAUAGAUGCCCUCUAUCAGAG
RNAcentral lists this long non-coding RNA (437 nucleotides) under Androctonus crassicauda. The record is from RNAcentral. Lineage: Eukaryota; Metazoa; Arthropoda; Arachnida; Scorpiones; Buthidae.